GGAGAGAUGCGAGAGCGGUCGAAUCGGACGGUCUCGAAAACCGUUGAACCCUUACGGGUUCCGAGGGUUCGAAUCCCUCUCUCUCCG
This 87-nucleotide transfer RNA is filed under the name Spirochaetaceae bacterium. Its description in RNAcentral is "tRNA-Ser". It matches the Rfam family "tRNA". From Rfam's summary of the family: Transfer RNA (tRNA) molecules are approximately 80 nucleotides in length. Their secondary structure includes four short double-helical elements and three loops (D, anti-codon, and T loops). The record is from RNAcentral. Lineage: Bacteria; Pseudomonadati; Spirochaetota; Spirochaetia; Spirochaetales; Spirochaetaceae.